Molecule: ribosomal RNA, 430 nt
Filed under: Pseudomonadota bacterium
Lineage: Bacteria; Pseudomonadati; Pseudomonadota
Description: Proteobacteria bacterium partial 16S ribosomal RNA
Rfam family: Bacterial small subunit ribosomal RNA
Source: RNAcentral
UGGGGAAUAUUGGACAAUGGGGGGAACCCUGAUCCAGCCAUGACGCGUGUGUGAAGAAGGCCUUAUGGUUGUAAAGCACUUUAAGCGAGGAGGAGGGUACUGGUAUUAAUACUACCAGCUACUGGACGUUACUCGCAGAAUAAGCACCGGCUAACUCUGUGCCAGCAGCCGCGGUAAUACAGAGGGUGCGAGCGUUAAUCGGAUUUACUGGGCGUAAAGCGUGCGUAGGCGGCUAAUUGAGUCGGAUGUGAAAUCCCCGAGCUUAACUUGGGAAUUGCAUUCGAUACUGGUUAGCUAGAGUGUGGGAGAGGAUGGUAGAAUUCCAGGUGUAGCGGUGAAAUGCGUAGAGAUCUGGAGGAAUACCGAUGGCGAAGGCAGCCAUCUGGCCUAACACUGACGCUGAGGUACGAAAGCAUGGGGAGCAAACAGG